RNA transcript from Homo sapiens (human), 2406 nucleotides. It is a transcript of the gene named caspase recruitment domain family member 19, with no coding region annotated. The transcript has 5 exons. NCBI's taxonomy places the organism in Eukaryota, Metazoa, Chordata, Mammalia, Primates, Hominidae. The record is from RefSeq and is marked validated.
CAAAAGGGGCGGGCGAGCACGGCCCGCGGGCGGCGUUCGCUGGAGCUGGUGGACCGGGCGGCUGACCGAGGGGCGGACGCGCGGCGGGGCAGACCGCUGGGGACUGCGGGCGGCGCUGUGUCCGUCGCCAUGACAGAUCAGACCUAUUGUGACCGCCUGGUGCAGGACACGCCUUUCCUGACAGGCCAUGGGCGCUUGAGUGAGCAGCAGGUGGACAGGAUCAUCCUCCAGCUGAACCGUUACUACCCACAGAUCCUUACCAACAAGGAGGCGGAAAAGGUGCUGAGGAGGUGCCACGUGCAGGGCUAUCCUGAGGGUUGGGGCAUCUCCUGGAACAAUGAGGUUGGCCCACAACAGAACAGGAGUCAACACGGGCCCUGCUACUGGCUCAGUUCCGGAACCCCAAGGCAUCCUUGCGUGUGCGGCUCUGUGACCUCCUGAGCCACCUGCAGCGGAGCGGUGAGCGGGACUGCCAGGAGUUCUACCGAGCCCUGUAUAUCCAUGCCCAGCCCCUGCACAGCCGCCUGCCCAGCCGCCACGCUCUGCGUAAGUUCCACAUCACCAACCAUGCAUGCUUGGUGCUGGCCCGGGGAGGGCACCCCAGCCUGCCGUUGAUGGCAUGGAUGUCCUCCAUGACCACCCAAGUCUGCUGCAGCCCAGGCCUGGCAUCCCCUCUCGCCUCAGCCCCUCCCCAGAGGCCACCCUCUGGCCCCGAGGGGAGAGUGUGGCAGGCACAGGCAGUGCAGAUGUUGGUCUCUGUCUCCCACUUUCUCCCCCUUCCUCCGUCUCUCUCUCAUGGCAGUUUUCACACAGCAUGGGGCAUCUUAUACGUCCACUCUUGCCCUUCCUUUUCUAACCUCAUUCCACGGGGAUCCCUUCAUGUCUGUGUGGACAGCAACCUUGUUCCCACAGCUGCAUGGCGCUCCUAGGCGGUCCCAGCUGGAAUUACCCAACCCCAUGACGGACCCUUUCAUUGCAGCGAUCUGCACACGUGUGGGUGUUUCCAUAGGACAUUGUCAGGCACGGAUGGCUGGUCCGAAGCACGUGCAUUUCAGUUUUGAGGCUCCUGUCCUCAGGCAGUGUGGACUCAGGCCCUGGGAGUCAUGUGGAUGCCAGUAGCCUGGGCCCACAGAGCUGCUGGGAUGUGGGGGGCAUAUCAAGUUGAAGAUGGCAACUCUGAUCUGACGCCUCUGUGCUCAGGGCCCCUGGAGGAGGGGCUACUGCCCCUUGGCCCUUAGACAACAGGACAGAGACCAGAGGGACUGGGCGGCUUGUCCCAGGCUACUGGGCUGUGGUCUCUGACCCCCUGGAGGCCUCCCCACGCCUCACAGAACACAGUGCAGACGGUGGGCGGGGAGAGCUCGAGGGGAGGCCCAGCCCUGCAGGUGGGACUGGCUCUCCCUCCCCAGCCACGAGUAUGCCACAGGGGGCUUUCAAAACCAGGCAGGGCCAAGCCUUGGCCCCACUGGAGGUAGAGCACCUUCUGUGGCUCCCGGGUGCCUUUAGGCCCGUCCAGGAGUUGGAGCAGAGGAGAAGACCCAGACUGUGCAUAGUUCCCUGAGGAGGGCUAGCCUCAGGUGCCACAGCCUGGUUCGGCCUGGCGGCCCCAGGAGGCAGCAGCAACCUUGGGCUUCCUGCGGGGUGACUACCUUGCCCUCCGGCCCUGCCCGUUGACUAACUAUGCUCUGUGGUUUUGUUUCCAGAGAACUCAGAUUGCACAGAGCUAGACUCGGGCAGCCAGAGCGGCGAGCUGAGUAACAGGGGUAACACCUCCCUGCUGCCCCUCCCUCUCUCUCCCUCUCUCUCCCUCUCUCUUUACCCUCCCCAGGGCUCCAUCUCCGCCUCAGGGGCUUCUCCACCCCAAGUCUGGCUCCAUUCCUGGCCUUCUGUUGGUGACAGACCCCCCCCCUAAGGUGCUCGUUUGGGGGCUCUUCAGGCAGCACCUCAGCCUGGCACCCCCACUCCCCUGCGCAGCCCCCAGGCCUCAGGACCCCACCCCUCUGAGGCCCAGGGGAGCCCUGUUCACGCUGGUUUCUCCCCAGGACCCAUGAGCUUCCUGGCUGGCCUGGGCCUUGCUGUGGGACUGGCCCUGCUCCUGUACUGCUAUCCGCCAGACCCCAAGGGCCUGCCAGGGACCCGGCGCGUCCUCGGUUUCUCGCCUGUCAUCAUCGACAGACAUGUCAGCCGCUACCUGCUGGCCUUCCUGGCAGAUGACCUAGGGGGGCUCUGACAGACCCUGGACCCAGGGCCUCACCUGCCACUCAACCAAAGAGUCCUCGAGCCGGCCCGCCAAGGGGACUGCUGCUUCUUUUUCUAAAUGCAUAUUUUUCAUUAUUUAUAAUUUGUGUAAAAAACACACCUUCACCUUACAAGGUGCUGACCAUAUUAAAUGUUCAGGUUCUCUCA